This is a long non-coding RNA of Gymnodraco acuticeps, 269 nucleotides long. RefSeq lists it as uncharacterized. The record is from RefSeq and is a predicted model, not a curated record. NCBI's taxonomy places the organism in Eukaryota, Metazoa, Chordata, Actinopteri, Perciformes, Bathydraconidae. The transcript has 3 exons.
CAGGAAAUCGGAGACCAGGCAGGGGGUGGGGAGACUCCAACAGUGAGAGUGAGGAAUGGUACUCAGCGAGGGGCCCCUGCUCCCGGUACCCCAGGGGUCAGUGUCCGGGGUCCAUCAGACAGCUGACUGCCAGCUCCUCUGGGCGAGCUCCUGCUGCACCGACCAAUCAACCACAACAGGGACUCCUUGCUGAUGGGACCCUCUGCAGUGAUUCUCCCAUCGAUGGACUGACAGCUCUCAGCAAUGGGACCGUUCUGAUAUUCAAAGGU